This 227-nucleotide ribosomal RNA is filed under the name Bacillus sp. CSeC30_60. Its description in RNAcentral is "partial 16S ribosomal RNA". It matches the Rfam family "Bacterial small subunit ribosomal RNA", at positions 123 to 343 of the family's 1533-position model. The record is from RNAcentral. Lineage: Bacteria; Bacillati; Bacillota; Bacilli; Caryophanales; Bacillaceae.
AACCUGGCCUGUAAGACUGGGGAUAACUCCGGGGAAACCGGAGCUAAUACCGGAUAGUUCCUUGAACCGCAUGGUUCAAGGAUGAAAGACGGUUUCGGCUGUCACUUACAGAUGGACCCGCGGCGCAUUAGCUAGUUGGUGGGGUAAUGGCUCACCAAGGCGACGAUGCGUAGCCGACCUGAGAGGUGAUCGGCCACACUGGGACUGAGACACGGCCAACUCCUACG